UUAUGAAAGCUUUUACAGCAGUUGCCUUUUAAGCAAAAGAACUAUUUUGUCAUAGA
RNAcentral lists this transfer RNA (56 nucleotides) under Tubulipora flabellaris. RNAcentral's name for it is "tRNA-Asn". Lineage: Eukaryota; Metazoa; Bryozoa; Stenolaemata; Tubuliporida; Tubuliporidae. The record is from RNAcentral.